Molecule: small nucleolar RNA, 132 nt
Filed under: Mus caroli (Ryukyu mouse)
Lineage: Eukaryota; Metazoa; Chordata; Mammalia; Rodentia; Muridae
Description: predicted gene, 24579 (MGP_CAROLIEiJ_G0036095.1)
Rfam family: Small nucleolar RNA SNORA17
About the family: snoRNA ACA 17 belongs to the H/ACA family of snoRNAs and is predicted to guide pseudouridylation of the 28S rRNA at positions U4659 and U4598. It shares the same host gene together with ACA43.
Source: RNAcentral
AUUGUUCCUAGAGGCAUUGUAGAUGUGCCUGCUGUGUUACAUGUGCAUCAGUAGGUGGCAGAAAAGAGACAGGCUAUGUCUUCAUUCGCUGUUCUGACGUAUGAACAUUUGAAUGAUUAGUAGCCUAACACU